This 536-nucleotide ribosomal RNA is filed under the name Alcichthys alcicornis. Its description in RNAcentral is "partial 16S ribosomal RNA". It matches the Rfam family "Bacterial large subunit ribosomal RNA", at positions 157 to 1040 of the family's 2925-position model. Lineage: Eukaryota; Metazoa; Chordata; Actinopteri; Perciformes; Cottidae. The record is from RNAcentral.
GCCCAACAGCUAGCCCACCAAAACAAUUUCAACAAGCCCCUGUUAAUAACCCCUAAAUACCCCAGUAUUAAAAUUAAACAAACCAUUUUUCCCCCUUAGUAUAGGCGAUAGAAAAGGAACUACGGCGCAAUAGAGAAAGUACCGCAAGGGAAUGCUGAAAGAGAAAUGAAACAACCCAGUAAAGCCUAAAAAAGCAGAGAUUAAACCUCGUACCUUUUGCAUCAUGAUUUAGCGAGUGUACCCCAAGCAAAGCGUACUUUAGUUUGACGUCCCGAAACUACGUGAGCUACUCCAAGACAGCCUAUUAAUAGGGCACACCCGUCUCUGUGGCAAAAGAGUGGGGAGAGCUUUGAGUAGAGGUGACAAACCUACCGAACCUAGUUAUAGCUGGUUGUCCAAGAAAUGAAUAGAAGUUCAGCCUCUUGGCUUCUCUUUUCACCCUAGCCUAACCCCUAUUGAUGCAAUAAAGAAACCAAAAGAGUUAGUCAAAGGGGGUACAGCCCCUUUGAAUCAAGACACAACUUUAUCAGGAGGGU